RNAcentral lists this ribosomal RNA (520 nucleotides) under uncultured Archaeospora. RNAcentral describes it as "SSU rRNA". It matches the Rfam family "Eukaryotic small subunit ribosomal RNA", at positions 569 to 1097 of the family's 1831-position model. The record is from RNAcentral. Lineage: Eukaryota; Fungi; Glomeromycota; Glomeromycetes; Archaeosporales; Archaeosporaceae.
AGCAGCCGCGGUAAUUCCAGCUCCAAUAGCGUAUAUUAAAGUUGUUGCAGUUAAAGCUCGUAGUUGAAUUUAGGCCUGGCCGGGCGGUCCGUCUUUGGCGAGUACUGUCCUGUGUCGGGUCCACCUUCUGGUGAACCAGUAUGUCCUUUAUUGGGUGUGCCGGGGAGCCAGGACCAUUACCUUGAAAAAUUAGAGUGUUUAAAGCAGGCAUUUGCUUGAAUAGAUUAGCAUGGAAUAAUAGAAUAGGACGUUGUGGUUCUAUUUUGUUGGUUUCUAGGACCACCGUAAUGAUUAAUAGGGACAGUUGGGGGCAUUAGUAUUCAAUUGUCAGAGGUGAAAUUCUUGGAUUUAUUGAAGACUAACUAUUGCGAAAGCAUUUGCCAAGGAUGUUUUCAUUAAUCAAGAACGAAAGUUAGGGGAUCGAAGACGAUCAGAUACCGUCGUAGUCUUAACCAUAAACUAUGCCGACUAGGAAUCGGGCGACGUUAUUUUCAUGACUCGCUCGGCGCCUUAUGGGAAA